This 72-nucleotide transfer RNA is filed under the name Pangasius djambal. RNAcentral's name for it is "tRNA-Glu". It matches the Rfam family "tRNA". Rfam says of the family: Transfer RNA (tRNA) molecules are approximately 80 nucleotides in length. The record is from RNAcentral. Lineage: Eukaryota; Metazoa; Chordata; Actinopteri; Siluriformes; Pangasiidae.
UCCCUGGAGGACUAGUGGUUAGGCCUCGGUGCUCUCACCGCCAUGGCCUGGGUUCGAUUCCCAGCCAGAGAA